Molecule: non-coding RNA, 23 nt
Filed under: Arabidopsis thaliana (thale cress)
Lineage: Eukaryota; Viridiplantae; Streptophyta; Magnoliopsida; Brassicales; Brassicaceae
Source: RNAcentral
GAAUGGUGUAACAAGUCAAGCGC